UAACACUGAAUGGGGGUUGCUUAUGGCUAGUAUUUCUGAAGAUACUGGUGAAGAAACACCAUUGCAGGUGCGCCUAAAUGGAGUUGCAACUUUCAUUGGUAUUGUUGGACUGACGGUGGCUUUUCUUGUCUUGGUUGUCCUUCUAGUCAGAUACUUUACUGGCCAUUCCAAGAAUGCAGAUGGAACACCUCAGUUUCAAGCGGGUAAAACUAGUGUUGGUGAUGCA
RNAcentral lists this unclassified non-coding RNA (226 nucleotides) under Hevea brasiliensis (rubber tree). Lineage: Eukaryota; Viridiplantae; Streptophyta; Magnoliopsida; Malpighiales; Euphorbiaceae. The record is from RNAcentral.